Molecule: long non-coding RNA, 302 nt
Organism: Actinia tenebrosa (Australian red waratah sea anemone)
Lineage: Eukaryota; Metazoa; Cnidaria; Anthozoa; Actiniaria; Actiniidae
Source: RefSeq, a predicted model, not a curated record
CAUGAUGUAGAUGGUUUGGACGAUUUCUCGAAGGUCAGGGUCACUACGGAUGUCACACGAUUUGAUACUUGUUUACUGGAUGAACUCAAAGAGUCAACAAAAUCUUACCUCAAGAUACAUUAAUAUUGAACCAAGAAGAAUGAUGCAGAGAAACUGUGGACUGGCUGACUUGAUGACCUUAAAACACAUCAGAACGAUAAUCCCUAAUGCAAUAAGUACAGCGACAAUGGUGAUGCUCGUCAAGGCGUAACGCAAUGGCCAGUUUAAAGUCACGACACACGGCGAAUCGUCGACGCACGUCA